Molecule: ribosomal RNA, 87 nt
Filed under: Idiomarina zobellii
Lineage: Bacteria; Pseudomonadati; Pseudomonadota; Gammaproteobacteria; Alteromonadales; Idiomarinaceae
Source: RNAcentral
UGAAUCCAUCCCGAACUCAGCAGUGAAACACACCAGCGCCGAUGGUAGUGUGGGGUCUCCCCAUGCGAGAGUAGGACACCGCCAGAC